RNAcentral lists this ribosomal RNA (406 nucleotides) under uncultured bacterium. RNAcentral describes it as "partial 16S ribosomal RNA". It matches the Rfam family "Bacterial small subunit ribosomal RNA", at positions 30 to 526 of the family's 1533-position model. The record is from RNAcentral.
AUUGAACGCUGGCGGCAAGCCUAACACAUGCAAGUCGAACGAGGGGCAGACGGUUGAGUAAUGUCUGGAAAACUGCCUGAUGGAGGGGGAUAAAUACUGGAAACGGUAGCUAAUACCGCAUACCAUCGGAUGUGCCCAUAUGGGAUUAGCUAGUAGGUGGGGUAAAGGCACCACUAGGCGACGAUCCCUAGCUGGUCUGAGAGGAGGACCAGCCACACUGGGACGGAGACACGGUCCAGACUCUUACGGGAGGCCGCAGUGGGGAAUAUUGCACAAUGGGCGCAAGCCUGAUGCAGCCAUGCCGCGUGUAUGAAGAAGGCCUUCGGGUUGUAAAGUACUUUCAGCGGGGAGGCGUUACCCGCAGAAGAAGCACCGGCUAACUCCGUGCCAGCAGCCGCGGUAAUAC